Molecule: transfer RNA, 69 nt
Filed under: Dicrostonyx torquatus (Arctic lemming)
Lineage: Eukaryota; Metazoa; Chordata; Mammalia; Rodentia; Cricetidae
Description: tRNA-Ile
Source: RNAcentral
AGAAAUAUGUCUGAAAAAAGAGUUACUUUGAUGGAGUAAAUCAUAGAGGUUUAAACCCUCUUAUUUCUA